Molecule: ribosomal RNA, 253 nt
Filed under: uncultured bacterium
Lineage: Bacteria
Description: partial 16S ribosomal RNA
Rfam family: Bacterial small subunit ribosomal RNA
Source: RNAcentral
UACGUAGGGUGCAAGCGUUAAUCGGAAUUACUGGGCGUAAAGCGUGCGCAGGCGGUUAUGCAAGACAGAUGUGAAAUCCCCGGGCUCAACCUGGGAACUGCAUUUGUGACUGCAUGGCUGGAGUGCGGCAGAGGGGGGUGGAAUUCCACGUGUAGCAGUGAAAUGCGUAGAGAUGUGGAGGAACACCGAUGGCGAAGGCAGCCCCCUGGGUUAACACUGACGCUCAGGCACGAAAGCGUGGGGAGCAAACAGG